CCACCGUUAUUGGUGUCAACGAUAGAUAGGAUCUUAUCAUAAGCAGACCUCUGCUCCUCGUUUAGGGUUUCUUUCAGAGCAACGUCUUCUGUCGUUGGCACUAUACUUUCCUCCUCAUAAAUCUCUCUAUCAGUACCAUGUAAAUCGUCAUAUCUAUCAAUGAUAGCAGGGAGAGGGAAUGUCUUUAUGUCUUUACCCAUUGACUGCAAAAUGUUUCUAAUGUCAAUCAAGACCAUCUGCUACACAUGGAUUUUGCUUUGAGUACUACGGUGAUAGUCCUCUGACAUUGAGUCAAGGUGUCUCUGCCAUAAUUCUGCCACAUCGUUCGGCUCGCAGUAUACCAGUAUUGUUGCAAACAACCUUCGUAGUGCUGACGGCAUUUGGUAAAUAGCGGCUUCGUUGAGACACUCAUCUAUUGUGUCGUCUGCUUCAAGCAGUCCCCUCCUUUGUGCCACCUCACGAAAAGUUGGUAGUGUGUCACCAUCUACUGUCCUUAGAUCCGCAUAGGAGGUUGCACCCGUCACAUGGUUUAAGAGAAGUCGAAGAUAAAAGCGCUCCCCCUUAGCUGGAUAAGCAGAGACUAUUCUACCAACCUGUCCACCCGUGUUUCGUUUCCUCCUUGCCACACCUUGCCCUGCUGCAAAGUGUACCACUCAGGAAAAUCACGGUAAAGGAUGCCCCGAGCCUCUUCGUGUAGCCUAUUUGCCUCAAAAUAUGCCGUAAGCAUUGACCUAUCGACACCUAGACGUUGGACAACAUGAUUUACUUUAGCACGCUCGUGAAAUGACACCAUAUGCAUGUUUUCAAGAUGGAGCUGCAGUUGCAUCACUGGUGGAGAGUUUUGACUUAGAUCAAAGCUGAAUAUCCUCCAAAGGGCUUCUAGAGGGGUCACCCACCUAGCAUCUCUAUACUGCUUGAUCUCAUCAACGUCACCAUCAGCCUUGUUUGCGUCUGUCACAGCCACAGACACACGAUCGUGGCCUUUGUAUAUGUAUUUGAACAAGUAUUUGACAGCCUUGAUGCUCCCGCACGCCUCAACAUUGAUGUGACAGUUGAAGAGCCGGAGGAGGUAAGGGUUGUAAGGGACGACCCAUCUGUUGUCCAAUUCACAACCUCGAACCGUUUCCUUACGCCCAUCAUCACGACGCCUAUAAAUAGGAUAUGAAUCCUUUCCUUGAGACGUUGCAUUGCUAAAAGCUCUAGGAUAAUGGUUUUUGCAUGAAGCACGACCCUUAGUGCAUGGGCAUUUAGGAUUUAGCAACCCGCACGGUCCAUGCAUCAUAUGCUUGAUAACCAUCUUGUAUAGUUCAGGGUACUUCUUCUUGUCAGGGAUCUCAGCAGAGAUAAGGUGAUCAUACUGAUCAGGACAAGUUAGCUUGUACUUUCUCUGCAUGAUGAGUAGGAAAUGGACAUGAGGCAAACCUCGCUUCUGGAACUCCACGACAUAGACAUAAGCUCGGAUUUUUCCAAGAAUAUGAUGCUUAGUCAAUCUCUUCUUCAGUUCCUCUAGUUUUGCACGGAAUAUGCGAACAACAAGGUCCGGACGAUCCUGUGGUGACUGCAUAGGGAGAAGCUCUCUGGUUAUUUCAUCCCAAUUGGGGUUGCACGUCAUAGUGAGGAAUAUGUCUGGCUUCCCAAACUUCCGCACAAGGGCCAUAGCAUCCACAUACCGACGUCUCAUGUCACGAGGACCACCGAUAAAUGAUGUAGGCAGCACGGUUCGCUUUCCAAUUUUGUCUGCUCUGUUCUCGCCUUCAUGCAAGCUAUCUACCAAACCCUUGUAUAGAUCCGCCCUUAAUCUGUCUUGGUUUUUACGUAUGAAAUCCAAACGAGAGCUCUCAAUCUUGAUGUAGGUGUCAACCGCGAACUGUUGGAAAAGCCGCUUCCCAUGAAGUAUUGGAUUGAAUAUACUUGGACGAAUUUGGAAUCUGUAGCAGUAAUAGUCACGUACAGACACGCAUAGAUGGCUAGGUCGUUCUGCAACCGCAAGGUUUAUUAAUUAGUGUUGCUAAAAACAUAUUUAACAAAGGAUUAUAUAAGAAUCACAAAGAAAGAACUAACUUGUAUCAUCAUUGUUUGCAUCACUUCUCCUAUGUUGAUCGCGGUACGCGUCUACUUCGUCCAUGGAAACAUUGGACUUAGGAAUAUUGGCAUGCCAUCCAAGUUCACCUUUAGGGAAGAACAAUGGAUAUGAUAGUGCAUCAUAGCAUCCAUGAUAUGAACGGAUGCCGUGGCUUGACCUAUCCUUCCCAUGUAGCAUAACACUAUUACUGAAUUGACCUCGACGUUCACUCCCCUCAAUCCAAAUUGCAGCUACCUCCGAAGUAAUGGGUGAAUUAUAUAACUUCUGGUUCAGCGUUUGAUCAAGGUGAUGUGGUAGUCUUCAAUGUUAUCAACGUGCCCCAUACUCCUAAGGUGCUCAGAGUAUGGAUUUCCCUUAAGUAUUUCAACCAAUUGUUUAAUAACUGCCUUGUCUUUCUCAAAUUGUUGUUGACGACAUUUACGAUAUCUAUGCUCGAGGCUGGGAUCAUCAUCGUAGAAGUAGAGUUCAAGGUGUUUAUGUUCCGCCCCAACUUCCCUACCGAACGACCUUACGUUGUGGUACAUCAUGCCAUGUGCACGAAACGUAUAGAUACCACAAUCCAUGUUUGUAGUCAUACUGUCAAGACAACAGUACAGAGAAGUGAACGAGAAAUGGCCGUUAAAAAAUCGAAUGUUAUCACGAAAGUGCCUCGCAUCAGCAUCUGCAGACUCCCACAGCCUCCUAAGCUGGAGCGGUGUCUCGAAUGUGGCUAAAUUAAUCUGUUCAUUACGACAACAAAAUCCAGGUGGUUCAUACUGAAACUUCUUCGCUUUGCAGUAAUCGCAGUCAGCAACAGUGCUCAGCAAAUGUGUUUCUUCAGGUAUGUUACUAUACACCUUGUCGUACAAGUCAGGUACGUAAGGGUUGACAGUAAAGGCAUCUUGGGUUUCAUCAAUCUCAAUAUCCUCACCAGAUUCACCAUCUAAAUUUGUUUUGAAAGAACAAAGGAUAAGACAUACAACUUUAGAAACUUUUAAAUCAUAUAUCCUAUAUUAAAAACAUUACGUAAGUACCUUGCCCAGCGAAUAGGUAUCCUUCUUCGUCAUCAUCAUCUUCUUUAAAAAGUACAGUCUCAUCAGCAUCCUCUGUAAAGAGCACACCUUAAUCAUAUUAACCACUAAGAAUAAUUAGGGAACUAAUGAUGGAAUGAGCUUGUAAUUACCAUUGGUGGUAAUAGUCGAAGAUGUCAAGUGCUGCUUCCCAAUGUCUACUCCUUCGGUCAUUUUGUCACUAUUUGUGGCAGGGACUGUACACGGAUGUCUUUGUCGUCUAGGAGACUUUGUCAGUUUCUUUGUCUCAACAUCCUCAGUCACCGAUGGAGUAGGAACAAAUGGUGUUGGGAUCAAUUCAGGAAUAGCCAUGAGCUCGGAGCUAAAUAGAGACCCAGUAGGUGCUUGAGCAUCUGUUGAACUCCACACAAGCUCUGGGGUAAAAGUAGGGUUCUCAAUGGCGAUUGAGUCCUAACUUAGCAUAACUUGUUGUCUUAUUCUAUAGUUUUCCCUUGCUCUCUUUUGACAUGGUUUCAUAUUACGCAACGUCCUUUGUUCCUUAGUUUGAGUUGCACAUCGAGCUCUUUCUCGGAUUCUCUUACGUUCCUUUGGACCUAACACUUUUGAAUACUCAUGGUGUACAACAUUUUCUUUGUUGCGUGACGCACAACGUUUCUUCAAUUCAUUUUUUGUUUCAUCACUCAUCGCCGCGUAUCGUGCUCUUUCCUUUUCCCGUUUACAUUGCCUUGCAUCCGCACAUCCUACUAAACCAUUAUAGGUUUUAUUUUUUAAAACCUUAUUGAAAUGUCAAAUAAGGCAUCUUAUAUUAUUAGUAGAUAUACCUUCAACAGUGAUGUUGGACAAUUCUUUUAAUGGAGAACGAACAUCAUUAGUUUGGAGCAGAUCCAUCUACGUAUUUCAGGCAGCCACAAAACCUAUAUGAGAGGAUGAAUCACCUUAUCAUACUUCACCAAAGGAUAAGAUACGCUCAAUUUCUAAUCUAAUCAGAUAACAUUGAUUCUUAGAGAUAGGGAAAGUACUAACGAGCAAAUUGGUACGUUCAGUUAAAUGGUAGACAAUCAAUGAGAAUCAAAGUCAACAUAUAAGACUAACUCCAACACGGACCUCUAAAGGGUCCUAUACCCUAAAUUUAGAGGAUGAGGUCAUCCUCUACUCCCUCCGGCAGCGUCCUUUAAACGGUCUACUAAAUUUACAGGACAAAUUAAAAAUGUCUCUAAUAUAGGUAUUUGUGUAUAAAAGACAUGAUUUAGAGAAUGUUGUUGAAGAGGAAAGAAAUAUAGAGAAUGUAAUCUUUUAGGAUGUCUCCAACAAGGAAAUGCUUAGGAUGGUGGUACAUGUUGUGUAGUUGCGUUAUAAUUACUUCUUUCAUUGUAAGGAAUAUGGAUGUUUUUACAUCAACCCGAAAUGUACUCCACAUGCCAUGGAUAUUCGUUUAUGUACUACUAAGGAAAUCCUCCUCCAUGAGGAUUUUUUGUUCCUCCAGAAGGAACUUAAGUUUUCAGGAGUGCACUUAUUCAUGUAUCAAGACUAAAUUCUGUUUAUGUUACAAGUUUUCAGUUGUCCUUUCUUCACAUGCCAGCAUGUUAAAUCUGCUGAUUUUGAUUCAUUAAGAUAUUAGGAUGGAUGGAGUCACACAAGCUGUUGAAAAUCUUAAGAAAGAAUGGGGCCAAGCAGUUUCACAGCUUGACGAGAACAUUACUGCAAUUGAAUCAUGUGGAAAAACAGGGAAAGGGACAAAGGAAGCAAAUUAUCUUCCAAGGUUGAAUGGUUCUGCACAGGAUGCUCUGUAGUUGCUGAAGUCACUGCAGUUCCAGCUUGAUCUUCUAGCACAGCAGCUUCCCACUUUUGAUGAGGUGCAGUCUGGUCAAGCAACCUUGAAGUCAUGGGAUGAACAAUACAAGAAGCUUCGUAUUAGCCUGAGGAAUGCUAACUUAUAAGCAAAAGACAACAUUAGACAAGCUGCUGAAGAGGAGGUACGUGAUUAUGCCUGGACUUUGAUGAUAUUAAUCCAAGUGAUGAGUUGUCUGAGUGGUACAUGCUUCUAGGGCUUAUUUGGAUGGCUCCUGGAUGGAGCUGCCUGGCCCAGGAAUCCAUCCCAGGCGUCCGAUUUUGGUCGCAUGGGGCUAGGAUGAUUGCCUGGCCGGCGAGCUGCCUGGCAAGGUAGCAACCAAACAGGCCCCUAGAGUGUCACCAAUCACCAAUGCAAUGUGAAAGAUUAAGAAUUCAUGUUAAAUUUUAAGGACAUAUUCUUUAUAUGCAGUAUGUCUUCUCAGAGGUUUUUUAUGUACUCAUUUAAGUUCAAAAGCACCAUUGAAACUAAUGCUGCUUUAGAUUUUUGCAAUUUCCCUGGCAAAAUUAGCAAGAAAAUGACCUAUAGGCACCCUACCACGUUUUUAGAGCAUCGCAGGUGCCAUUAUAACUUGGCUAUCGGUUUCUAAUUGACUUUUCUCUAGAGGACACUUCUUCUAGGCGAUGGUUAAGAGUCUACCAUCCGUAGGCGUAAUCUCCAGUAAGUUGAUUUCAAUUAGGUCUCUUUCCCUUAAGACAAUAUAUAUAUAUAUAUAUAUAUAUAUAUAUAUAUGGGAUAUUUAAGGAGCUUUUAUAAUUUAAUCAGUUACAUGUGUAUCCCAUCCAUCUGGUUUGAUCAAAUUCAGGUUACCUGAAAUUUAAAAAGCAGAUAAUGUGGGCUGUCAUUUGUGAAUUCUAGAACAUAAAAAACGGAUCAAGCCUCCUAUUACAUGAUAUUGUGUUAAACAUAAAACACUGAUGCUCUUUCUUUCACAACAAGCUGGCCAAGUUUAUGGAGUUCCUCUUUAUGGAUCUCUACUGAUCAAGCCUGGAGUUUACCCAGAGCAAAGACCAUGUAAUGAGGACACCCGCAGAAAAUGGAUUGAGGCCCUUGCUCAGCCAAACAAGCGACUGUGUUCAUUGUCUGAGCACGUUCCUCAUGGUUACCGUAGGAAAUCACUUUUUGAAGGUCUAAUUCGAUAUAAUGUUCCGUUGCUAAGAGCAACAUGGUUUAUUAAAGUCACAUACCUAAACCAGCUACAGACCCGACAGACACCUAACAGUAUUUCAGUAGCGGGUUCUGAUAACCAACGCUCUCAGUGGACAAAGGAUGUUGUUGAAUAUUUACAACAUAUGUUGGACGAAUUUUGUUCUAAAGAGGGUGCAUUCGUGCAUCCAUCCUUUAGAGAGCAGUCAUCACCAGGACCUACUGCUGGAACCAAUCAGAUAAAAAUGAAAACUGAAGCAUCUCCAGCUGUUGGAGACAUUGAAGAACACUUGGUGCACUUCAAAUGGUGGUAUAUGGUUCGUCUCAUCCAAUGGGAUCUCACAGAAGAAUUGCUUGUUCCCUCAGUACUUAUCGAAUGACUAUCUAACCAACUCCAGGUACUUCUGUCGAGAAUUCAAUCGACGUGAAAGUUUAUGUUUCAGUUCCUAUUCAUCUAAGGAAUACCCACUUUUCUAGGAAUAUGUUUUAGUUUAACUUCAAUCUAUAGAUUCUUUUGUCUAAAAGCAUGCUGCUACAAUGGACCCUAAACAGGUAAGAAAACACAUGAAGGCAGUCCAUUAGUCGUAGAACAAAAGAAUUUACUGUUUGGUAACUUCUGUUUACUGUGGGUUCUUUUUUUGCUUCUAGGACAGCAUCCAUGUGAUUGAUCCUUUUUGAAACUGAAUUUAAUUAUAUUACAGCCUAAAUGCCUAAUAGCAUGUUGCUACAGUGGAUACUAAACAAAUUCUAAGGAAUACUCACUUUUCUAGGAAUAUGUUUCAGUUUACCUUCAAUCUGUAAGAUUAAAGCCUAAAAGCAUGCUGCUACAAUGGAUCCUAAUUAGCUAAGAAACAAAUGAAGACAUACCAUUAGUCGUAGAACAAAAGAAAACAUCAUAAAAUUUAGGGUAUGAAAUCCACACAAACAAGUGGUACGGGCAUGUUUUUCCCAAAUAUAUUUUGGGUACUUCAAAUGACAUUGAUCUUGGUAAAGCUGACAAUAUUCGUAUCUUGAAAUUACAUUGCUUACUUAGCAUGAUGUAUAAAUUUUAGUGCACAAUUUAGGUACUUGAAUUUUCAGAGAUGCUCUGAAUUUAAUUACUCAAAUUUUCUAAUUGAGACACUGAUGGGUUAGCGUUGCAGGGGAGUCAAUUUAAUUUACCAAAAUUGCAUGUUCAAAGGGUUCCCUAUUUUAGUAACAUCUAGAGUCAAUUUUGAUUUACCAAAACUGCAUGCUCAGUGGUUUUUUGUAACUGGAAUUUACAUUAUUUUACAGAAUUCCAUAAUUCUUUAGUGCUUAUUUGUGUUUUAUUUUCAGGUUGCAAAGUAGACAUCCCCUAUUUCUAUAGUUCAUGCUUCAUGGAUAUGGUUCAAUAAAUUGAGGACCUGCGCAAACAACACUCAAUAACAAUAUUGUUCUUCUAUGCUCAUUAUUUGUUCUCAUAUCCUCCUUUUCUUGUUUUCUGCCCUUUUGACACCACUAUACUCUGGUUUGACAUGUGGAAGCGUGGAUCAUGCAAUUCUUGUCAUGUGCUGCAGAUGAUACUUUAAUGUCGUGUCAUGUUGUUGCUGUUAUCAAGAUUCAUGAACAUGGCAUUAUCUGUCAUUUGAAAUUAUAUGUUAUCUGAAAUUUCUUUCUCCCCUUGUGCUUAUGAUAUAUGUCUCGUGUGUGGAAUUUGGAUAUGGAUUAUGGAAGUAUCAUUAACAAUGUAAUUAUAGAACGACUUUUGUGCUUAUGAAAUAUGACUCGUGGGUGGAAUUUGGAUAUGGAUUAUGGGAGUACAAUUAACAAUGUAAUUAUAGAACGGUUUUUCUUACCAAUAUAUUGUUGGUGGUAUUGAGCACUUCAUGAAUUUUGUACUGUGAAUAUUAUGUAUUUUCAAGGACCUUAAGACGAACAACCAUGAUAACUAUGAAAUUAAUUUUGAAGACAUUGAGUACCUUUUUAUGGCUUUAGCUUUAGAGCAUUAUAUCAUUAUUGUUUGUGUGUUCGCGUAUUUUAACACACAAUAAUGCUCAAUUUUUAUGAUAAAUAUAACCAGAAAGUGGUGCUUAUCAAGAUGUGGGCUAUGAUGUUUGAAUACAUAAAUGCUAAUGGUUGGCUAAACCAUGGUGCAGAGGUUAUGCCUUUUCUCUUCUGCAUGUUGUCAACAUUGCCAAGUUGGAAAAUAAAUGCUUAGUGACUAAUAUAUUGUCAAAGCUGAAGUCAAGUAAAACAGGGUUGAGGAGGGGCCAAGGCAGCAACCAAGAAUGUGAAGAGGAAAAUGCCUUUCGUACUACUAUCUAGAACUGGUUUAUGGGGAUGACAGACUGACUGAACAACAGAGCAAGAAGAAAGAAAAAUAAAACGAAGAGGAAAACAAUAAAACAAUAUAUUUUUCCAGUAAGAUUAUGUUCUAUGCCUACCAAGAAUGUUAUCUUACUCUGCAUCUUCUUGCCAGUCCUUUUGUGAUUAUGUUCAAUUGAUGCUGCUAAGAAUAUUAGUGCAGUGGAGUGUGGUGUAUACUUGAAUCUCUUAAUUGAUGAUUGCAGGAAGUUGUUUUCCAUUUAAAUGCUCGGAUAGGUUGAGCAAUCUCAUAUGUAGUAGAUGUCCAUAAAUUCAACAUGUAAAAGCCAGAAUGCAUAUGUUAUUAUCUCUAUUUAUUUGGCGAUGUAACAUUAAUAUUAUGCAUUUUUUCACGUUAAUUGUACUAAUGUUGUCUCAUGAUAUGUUCAUAUGAGGUCAGUUGUGUGUUAAUAACCAUGCUACAGCCUACAACUCUUGUAAUGGGUGAUUUUUCAUAUUUUUAACUCGUUUGUGUAUUGUUUACUGUCGUUUAAGUGUUAUCUUGCUUCUGCCUCCCCCCUCAAAGAGAUGCUGGCGAGUUUCGUAAAAAAAGGGAAGAGGUGAUAUUUGCUGGUUUAUUUCUUGAAAGGUUUCAUUUUUUCCAAGAGUGUCGUAUGAUCUGAGUGCCUUCAGUUAAAGAAGGAAACACCCGUCUCAAGUGUUGCUUUGUUGCAAGGUUCAAGUUUUUGUUCCAAAACUGCUGCAUCGUCUGGAGUGUUUUGAGAUGAAGAAUGAAGUGAUCCUCUUCGGUGAGCAAUUUUUUUGUUCUUUCAAUUUGCAAAAAUGCUAUCAUCAUUAUGUCGUUCCUACCGCAUUUUCCACAUAUCUUUCGUAAGCGGAUAUUGUUUUCAAUAGUUUUGUGAUUACCAGGCCAUGGAUUACAGUGGACUAAAUGCAAAUGACAUAGGCUUGUAUAGAUCAAGAACCAUGCUAACAGUGAUGAAGAAAGAUGAAUGAAGAAUAAUGAUGGUGAACUUAUUUAUUAGCUCAUAGAAAGGUCACAUAGUUUUAUACAAAGUGAUCACCAUUGAGACCGAACACAUGACUAAUACAAAAUAGAGAACAAAUCAUUACUACUAAGUUUCAUCUAAAUCAUAACUAACAAAGUAUCUACUAUAACAAGCUAGAAUACGUCUCAAUCAGAUAUCACAGUUGUGAGAUGUGCCCGUCUGUUCUCAAGAAAUUUGUCGACGAUACGACGCCUUGGAUUUUGAAUCAACGAACGUCGAAUAGCUGCAAUUUAGAACAUAAUUUGCAAGAAGAUGAUUAUUUUAAAUUAUUAUCAUUUUAAUUUUAGCUAUAGUUUAUAAAUCUAUUAUAAGAACCACUCACUCUUCAAGUGGUAUGUAGUGUGAUGAUCUGGGUUGAAAUGAACGGUGCUGUAAUCCGAGGUUUCCAAGCAUCCUAUUGUUAGGAUAAUAAAUAAGCAUAAGAAUUGAGUUCAAGUUGAAAGAAUUUUGGUACAAGAGAAAUUACUGUGUUUAUUGUUACGACGCAGCAUAGUUCCAAUAACUAUGUUAUUGUCAACUCUAGCUAACGACCAUCGUAGAGCAUUUCUUUGCAAGAGGUCAGUCCAUACCCCCACGACGAUUAGAUCCCACCUAUAAAAACAUUAAUGUUGUCUGAAUAAGACCUAACAAUUACUUAAUACUUUCAAAAAAUAAUGUAGCUAUAAAUUAGUGUCACCUGGAAUCCAUUAGUACAGCCUCUCUAUACGGCCUUCCACCGAUAUGCUUUAAUGGCUCUAAAUGAAGAACUAUGCCAAUAAUGUCUGAGCAAUUCACAUGUGAUUAGUUAUCUUUGAAUAACUUAUACAUCAGCCAUUAGUACUAUAUAUAUAUAAACCAUAUGGAAGGAAUGAUCAUUACCUACGAACGACUUAUGCGGUUGUUGAUACACCUUAUGGAAUGGCAUAAGAUACUUUGGAAAUGGAGGAAAUUGGAUUGGCUUAAUGAAUGGCUCCACAAUAGUAUGUGUUAUCAGUCCGAUCUCUAGCCCAUGUCCAAUAUUCCGAAAUUGAAUUCCCUCCCUAUUUAGACAGAAUCCCACUCUAUACAAUGUAUAUGUGCAUCCUUGUGUGAGUAAGGCAUCGAAACGUGGAACAUUAUUGCGACUUGAAAUUGCUUCCAUUUUGGAUCCCUAGAUAUAUGGGAAUACAGGUCGUAUGAGUCAAAGAAUUUUAUUAUAACAACAUGACUAUAUUGACUCUAUUUUAAAGCUUGAAGUAACUCACUGUGAUAUCCUAUAGGAUGAAGUGUUGACUAUCAUGACGCCUAGGGAACUUAACAACUACCCUCGCAAAGAUACUCUUUACGUGUGGUAAGUUAUUGAAAUCUUGAAUAUCAUCAAAUAACACGAAACUAUAUAAAACACAAACUGUAGCUUAAGUUCUUCAUUCAUAUAUAAAUGUGACAAGUGAACUAUAUACUUACGGAGGAAAGGGACGAAUGUCUGGAACUGUCCUAUUUUGGUUUAUUCUACCUGAUCCCGCCAUUGAUCUUGUAGGACCAAUCAUGGCAUUAUUGCAAAGAAAACAUCAUUAUCAUUAAAAGGAUUAAAUGACAAAGUCCCUCUGUCAAACAAAUAGAUUUCUUUUACAUCAUAAUGAAAUUACAAGAAACUAUUUUGUAGAAAGUAUAGACUCUAUCUACGUCUUUGUUCUUUAAGAAACCUAGCAUCAAAUUGAAGAUUUUUCAUAUAACAAUAUUUAAAGUUAAAUCAUAAAAUGUAACAUAAUAUGUCUCAUAUGUUUAUCUACAUCUUGUGACAGUUGCUGGUGAAUAAUAGGACAGCAAGCGCCAGUGAAAUAGUUGCUUCAGCACUUCAUGACAAUUGCAAAGCUGUUCUUGUUGGCGAAAGGACUUUUGGCAAGGGCUUAAUCCAAUCUGUAUUUGAACUUCAUGAUGGUUCUGGUAUUGUCGUCACAGUUGGCAAAUACAUGACACCAAACCACAAGGAUAUCAAUGGGAAUGGAAUAGAACCGGAUUACAAUCGUCUUCCUG
Molecule: RNA transcript, 11415 nt
Organism: Zea mays
Lineage: Eukaryota; Viridiplantae; Streptophyta; Magnoliopsida; Poales; Poaceae
Exons: 6
Source: RefSeq, a predicted model, not a curated record